CUGCACCGCAUCGAGGCCUCCCUGCCGGCCUCCCUCGCCGCCCUACACCGCACCGUCGAGUGGGCGGCCGCUCCUCCUUCACCUACAAUCAAAUAUUCACGGAUCGGCCAGGCUACAACAAGAUUAUUAUGCAUCAUCUGCAUGAGUUCUGGAGCAGUAGGCAGCCCCAUCAGAUUGGCCAGAUCGCCAGUGCCUAGGAGCCUGCUCCGGCACCCGUGCCGCCGCGCCCGCCCUGAAAUUCCCCUGAACCAGUCAGCCACACGCAACCAUAAUUCUUCCCUGCACUUCUUCAGGGCCUAACGUCCAAAUUUCAGGGGUUAAGGUACCCCAACUCAGCAGAAUACGUGACCCAUGUUGCACAAUUGAAGAUGGUUCGUUCGUCGAUUUAGG
Long non-coding RNA from Triticum aestivum (bread wheat), 390 nucleotides. RefSeq lists it as uncharacterized. The transcript is spliced from 3 exons. Lineage: Eukaryota; Viridiplantae; Streptophyta; Magnoliopsida; Poales; Poaceae. The record is from RefSeq and is a predicted model, not a curated record.